UUGGCUCAGGAUGAACGCUGGCGGCGUGCUUAACACAUGCAAGUCGAACGGAAACGUAUUGAAACCUAGUGAUAUACGUUUUAGUGGCGGACGGGUGAGUAACGCGUGGGUAACCUGCCGUAUUCUGGGGGACAACAGUUGGAAACGACUGCUAAUACCGCAUAAGACCACAGAGUCGCAUGACUCAGGGGUAAAAACUCCGGUGGAAUACGAUGGACCCGCGUCUGAUUAGCUAGUUGGUGAGGUAACGGCCCACCAAGGCGACGAUCAGUAGCCGGCCUGAGAGGGUGAACGGCCACAUUGGGACUGAGACACGGCCCAAACUCCUACGGGAGGCAGCAGUGGGGAAUA
Molecule: ribosomal RNA, 351 nt
Filed under: uncultured rumen bacterium
Lineage: Bacteria
Description: bacterial SSU rRNA
Rfam family: Bacterial small subunit ribosomal RNA
Source: RNAcentral